This 253-nucleotide ribosomal RNA is filed under the name uncultured bacterium. RNAcentral's name for it is "partial 16S ribosomal RNA". It matches the Rfam family "Bacterial small subunit ribosomal RNA", at positions 524 to 776 of the family's 1533-position model. The record is from RNAcentral.
UACGGAGGGUGCAAGCGUUGUUCGGAAUUACUGGGCGUAAAGGGGGUGUAGGCGGCCAAAUAAGUCUGAUGUGAAAUCCCUCGGCUUAACCGAGGAAGUGCAUCAGAAACUGCUUGGCUUGAGUAUGGGAGAGGAAGGCGGAAUUCCCGGUGUAGCGGUGACAUGCGUAGAUAUCGGGAGGAACACCGGUGGCGAAGGCGGCCUUCUGGCCCAAUACUGACGCUGAGACCCGAAAGCGUGGGGAGCAAACAGG